GGAGUUAUAGCUCAGUGGUAGAGUGCUUACCUAGCAUGUGUGAGACACUGAGUUCGAUCCUUAGCACCA
Molecule: transfer RNA, 69 nt
Filed under: Marmota monax (woodchuck)
Lineage: Eukaryota; Metazoa; Chordata; Mammalia; Rodentia; Sciuridae
Rfam family: tRNA
About the family: Transfer RNA (tRNA) molecules are approximately 80 nucleotides in length. Their secondary structure includes four short double-helical elements and three loops (D, anti-codon, and T loops).
Source: Rfam by way of RNAcentral